UGUCAUAGGAGAGCCUGGGGAAGAAAACAGUGGACAAGACAGAUCAGGCUUGUCCCCUUGGAGCCUACAUUCCAGUAGGGACGGAUGGGAACAAUAUGUUAAUUAAAGUCAUUAGUAAACCCAAGGAAUUCCAAGGAAGAAGGAAGUGGGUGCUGUGACAGAGUCAAAGAGAAAUUGUUUGAAAAUACCAGGGUGACAGAGAUGUGAUGUUCGUGAGCCAGCCCAGGAUCCUUCACUGCCGAUCUCAGGUGGACCAGUCCUGAUUUCCCCUGCUUGGUCUACAUGGAAUAAACCUUUCUGAACUCUGUGGA
Molecule: long non-coding RNA, 311 nt
Organism: Suricata suricatta (meerkat)
Lineage: Eukaryota; Metazoa; Chordata; Mammalia; Carnivora; Herpestidae
Exons: 2
Source: RefSeq, a predicted model, not a curated record